ACUCUAGAGAUAGAGUCUUCCCCUUCGGGGGACAAAGUGACAGGUGGUGCAUGGUUGUCGUCAGCUCGUGUCGUGAGAUGUUGGGUUAAGUCCCGCAACGAGCGCAACCCUUAAGCUUAGUUGCCAGCAUUAAGUUGGGCACUCUAAGUUGACUGCCGGUGACAAACCGGAGGAAGGUGGGGAUGACGUCAAAUCAUCAUGCCCCUUAUGAUUUGGGCUACACACGUGCUACGAUGGACAAUACAAAGGGCAGCUAAACCGCGAGGUCAUGCAAAUCCCAUAAAGUUGUUCUCAGUUCGGAUUGUAGUCUGCAACUCGACUACAUGAAGCUGGAAUCGCUAGUAAUCGUAGAUCAGCAUGCUACGGUGAAUACGUUCCCGGGUCUUGUACACACCGCCCGUCACACCACGAGAGUCUGUAACACCCGAAGCCGGUGGAGUAACCAUUUAUGGAGCUAGCCGUCGAAGGUGGGACAAAUGAUUGGGGUGAAGUCGUAACAAGGUAGCCGUAUCGG
RNAcentral lists this ribosomal RNA (514 nucleotides) under uncultured bacterium. RNAcentral describes it as "bacterial SSU rRNA". It matches the Rfam family "Bacterial small subunit ribosomal RNA", at positions 997 to 1508 of the family's 1533-position model. The record is from RNAcentral.